RNAcentral lists this ribosomal RNA (497 nucleotides) under uncultured bacterium. Its description in RNAcentral is "partial 16S ribosomal RNA". It matches the Rfam family "Bacterial small subunit ribosomal RNA", at positions 28 to 507 of the family's 1533-position model. The record is from RNAcentral.
GAUGAACGCUGGCGGCGUGCUUAAUACAUGCAAGUCGAGCGAACAGACGAGGCGCUUGCUCCUCUGUCGAUAGCGGCGGACGGGUGAGUAACACGUGGAUAACCUCCCUAUAAGACUGGGAUAACUUCGGGACACCGGCUCUAAUACCGUAUAAUCUAUUGAACCGCAUGGUUCAAUAGUGAAAUACGGUUUUUCUGUCACUUAUCGAUGCAUCUGGGCGGCAUUAGCUAGUUGUUAAGUUAACGGCUUACCAAGGCAACGAUGCGUAGCCGACCGGAGAGGGGGGUCGGCCACACUGGAAGUGAGACGCGGUCCAGACGCCUACGAGAGGGAGCAGUAGGCAAUGUGCGGCAAUGGGCGAAAACCUGACGGAGCGACGCCACGUGAGUGAUGACAGUCUUGCGAGCGGAAAACUCUGUUAUUAGUGAAGAACAAAUGUGUAAGUAACUAUGCACGUCGUGACGGUAACUAAUCAGAAAGCCACGGCUAACUACGUG